This is an RNA transcript of Nomascus leucogenys (northern white-cheeked gibbon), 637 nucleotides long. It is a transcript of the gene named polyadenylate-binding protein 1 pseudogene, with no coding region annotated. Lineage: Eukaryota; Metazoa; Chordata; Mammalia; Primates; Hylobatidae. The record is from RefSeq and is a predicted model, not a curated record. The transcript has a single exon.
UCAGCCCUAGGGCAAACGGUAUCAAGGUGUUUUAUUUCCAGAAGUCUCAAAAUAGGCUGGAAUAAAAAUUUGGGGAAUUCAUCAACACAGACAAUGGGUCCACGUCCUGCAGCUGCAGCUGCUGCAGCUACUCCUGCUGUCCACACCGUUCCACAGUGUAAAUACGCUGCGGGAGUUUGCAUUCCUCAGCAACAUCUUAAUGCACAGCCACAAGUUACAAUGCAACAGCCUGCUAUUCAUGUACAAGGUCAGGAACCUUUGACUGCUUCCAUGUUGGCAUUUGCCCCUCAAGAGCAAAAGCAAAUGUUGGGUGAACAGCUGUUUCCUCUUAGUCAAGCCAUGCACCCUACUCUUGCGGGUAAAAUCACUGGCAUGUUGUUGGAGAUUGAUAAUUCAGAACUUCUUCAUAUGCUCGAGUCUCCAGAGUCACUCCAUUCUAAGGUUGAUGAAGCUGUAGCUGUACUACAAGCCCAUCAAGCUAAAGAGGCUGCCCAGAAACCAGUUAACAGUGCCACCGGUGUUCCAACUGUUUAAAAUUGAUCAGGGACCACGAAAAGAAACUUGUGCUUCACCAAAGAAAAAUAUCUAAACAUCGAAAAACUUAAAUAUGGAAAAAAAUUGCAAAAUAUAAAAUAAA